RNAcentral lists this unclassified non-coding RNA (302 nucleotides) under Hevea brasiliensis (rubber tree). The record is from RNAcentral. Lineage: Eukaryota; Viridiplantae; Streptophyta; Magnoliopsida; Malpighiales; Euphorbiaceae.
CAGAGAGAGUCUCUGUGCUCUAUUUCACGAUCACAUCGCUUUCCUUCACAGUUACCGUUCUCCUUCGAGUAUAGCCGUCGCCACUCCAACGCCAUUGCCACCGUGGCUGUUGUAAAUUGAACUGAAGGAGGCAAGGAGCUCUAAGUAGCCUAACUACCCUGUCCACAUCUGUAGCAGAUUGUGAUUACAUAUCUGUAGCAGAUUUUGCAUACAAUAACUUAAUGACAAUUACUAGUGUGUGCCAAAGCUUCUUUAAUGGAGCGCUUGAUCGAUGUUACCGUCUUUCCCCUUGUUUGGCCGAC